RNAcentral lists this ribosomal RNA (577 nucleotides) under Streptomyces sp. Ri3Pw_6343. RNAcentral describes it as "bacterial SSU rRNA". It matches the Rfam family "Bacterial small subunit ribosomal RNA", at positions 438 to 1025 of the family's 1533-position model. The record is from RNAcentral. Lineage: Bacteria; Bacillati; Actinomycetota; Actinomycetes; Kitasatosporales; Streptomycetaceae.
AGCAGGGAAGAAGCGAGAGUGACGGUACCUGCAGAAGAAGCGCCGGCUAACUACGUGCCAGCAGCCGCGGUAAUACGUAGGGCGCAAGCGUUGUCCGGAAUUAUUGGGCGUAAAGAGCUCGUAGGCGGCUUGUCGCGUCGGAUGUGAAAGCCCGGAGCUUAACUCCGGGUCUGCAUUCGAUACGGGCAGGCUAGAGUUCGGUAGGGGAGAUCGGAAUUCCUGGUGUAGCGGUGAAAUGCGCAGAUAUCAGGAGGAACACCGGUGGCGAAGGCGGAUCUCUGGGCCGAUACUGACGCUGAGGAGCGAAAGCGUGGGGAGCGAACAGGAUUAGAUACCCUGGUAGUCCACGCCGUAAACGUUGGGAACUAGGUGUGGGCGACAUUCCACGUUGUCCGCGCCGCAGCUAACGCAUUAAGUUCCCCGCCUGGGGAGUACGGCCGCAAGGCUAAAACUCAAAGGAAUUGACGGGGGCCCGCACAAGCGGCGGAGCAUGUGGCUUAAUUCGACGCAACGCGAAGAACCUUACCAAGGCUUGACAUACACCGGAAACCUCUGGAGACAGGGGCCCCCUUGUGGU